This 209-nucleotide long non-coding RNA is filed under the name Homo sapiens (human). RNAcentral's name for it is "HSALNT0250131". The record is from RNAcentral. Lineage: Eukaryota; Metazoa; Chordata; Mammalia; Primates; Hominidae.
UAGUGUCUCAAAGUUUAACCUUUGUCUAUAAUCCAUCUGGGGCUUCCUCUAAUAAUUCACUCCAGAAGGAACAUUAGUGGAUGUGAGUUUUCUCCCAGGGAUUCACCCUCCUUCUGUUUUAAAUCAAAAAAUGCUUUUGCAAAUUAGCCAAAGGAGACAGGCUAUAAGCUUCCUGUAAGAAUCCUUCAGUGUGCCCUCUGGACUUUUUG